ACGAACGCUGGCGGCGUGCUUAACACAUGCAAGUCGAACGAAGAGCGAUGGAAGCUUGCUUCUAUCAAUCUUAGUGGCGAACGGGUGAGUAACGCGUAAUCAACCUGCCCUUCAGAGGGGGACAACAGUUGGAAACGACUGCUAAUACCGCAUACGAUCCAAUCUCGGCAUCGAGACUGGAUGAAAGGUGGCCUCUAUUUAUAAGCUAUCACUGAAGGAGGGGAUUGCGUCUGAUUAGCUAGUUGGAGGGGUAACGGCCCACCAAGGCGAUGAUCAGUAGCCGGUCUGAGAGGAUGAACGGCCACAUUGGGACUGAGACACGGCCCAGACUCCUACGGGAGGCAGCAGUGGGGAAUCUUCCGCAAUGGACGAAAGUCUGACGGAGCAACGCCGCGUGAGUGAUGACGGCCUUCGGGUUGUAAAGCUCUGUUAAUCGGGACGAAUGGUUCUUGUGCGAAUAGUGCGAGGAUUUGACGGUACCGGAAUAGAAAGCCACGGCUAACUACGUGCCAGCAGCCGCGGUAAUACGUAGGUGGCAAGCGUUGUCCGGAAUUAUUGGGCGUAAAGCGCGCGCAGGCGGAUUGGUCAGUCUGUCUUAAAAGUUCGGGGCUUAACCCCGUGAUGGGAUGGAAACUGCCAAUCUAGAGUAUCGG
Molecule: ribosomal RNA, 653 nt
Filed under: uncultured Veillonella sp.
Lineage: Bacteria; Bacillati; Bacillota; Negativicutes; Veillonellales; Veillonellaceae
Description: bacterial SSU rRNA
Rfam family: Bacterial small subunit ribosomal RNA
Source: RNAcentral